GAUGGAGAAGCAGGGCACGUGCAUUACUAACUCAUCUCUUAGUCCACGUAUAUACACUCUCCCCAAAUGCAUGUAUAUGAUAGAGAUGUGUGAAGUGUGUUGAGUUAGUUCUUCAUGUGCCCAUCUUCCCCAUC
Molecule: microRNA precursor, 134 nt
Filed under: Brassica napus (rape)
Lineage: Eukaryota; Viridiplantae; Streptophyta; Magnoliopsida; Brassicales; Brassicaceae
Also listed under: 1 other name
Description: precursor microRNA R164b
Rfam family: MIR164 microRNA precursor family
Source: RNAcentral